AGAGAUGUGGCUGAGAGGUUUAAAGCACUCCCCUGCUAAGGGAGAAUUCAUAUUAAUUUGAAUCGAGGGUUCAAAUCCCUCCAUCUCUG
This 89-nucleotide transfer RNA is filed under the name Candidatus Nasuia deltocephalincola. RNAcentral describes it as "Candidatus Nasuia deltocephalinicola tRNA-Ser". It matches the Rfam family "tRNA". Rfam says of the family: Transfer RNA (tRNA) molecules are approximately 80 nucleotides in length. Lineage: Bacteria; Pseudomonadati; Pseudomonadota; Betaproteobacteria. The record is from RNAcentral.